AACGAACGCUGGCGGCAUGCCUAACACAUGCAAGUCGAACGAGACCUUCGGGUCUAGUGGCGCACGGGUGCGUAACGCGUGGGAACCUGCCCUUAGGUUCGGAAUAACUCCCCGAAAGGGGUGCUAAUACCGGAUAAUGUCUUCGGACCAAAGAUUUAUCGCCUUUGGAUGGGCCCGCGUUGGAUUAGCUAGUUGGUAGGGUAAAAGCCUACCAAGGCGACGAUACAUAGCUGGUCUGAGAGGAUGAUCAGCCACACUGGGACUGAGACACGGCCCAGACUACUACGGGAGGCAGCAGUGGGGAAUAGUGGAAAAUGGGCGAAAGCCUGAUACAGCAAUGCCGCGUGAGAGAUGAAGGCCUUAGGGUAGUAAAGCUCUUUUAACCGGGAUGAUAAUGACAGUACCGGGAGAAUAAGCUCCGGCUAACUACGUG
This 433-nucleotide ribosomal RNA is filed under the name uncultured bacterium. RNAcentral describes it as "partial 16S ribosomal RNA". It matches the Rfam family "Bacterial small subunit ribosomal RNA", at positions 29 to 507 of the family's 1533-position model. The record is from RNAcentral.